Non-coding RNA from Schistosoma mansoni, 81 nucleotides. NCBI's taxonomy places the organism in Eukaryota, Metazoa, Platyhelminthes, Trematoda, Strigeidida, Schistosomatidae. The record is from Rfam.
GGCAUUUGGGUGUAUCCAUGCUGAGAUUUCGUCACACACCGGACCACAAGGGCUGAUGAGACUCCCAAGAUAAGUGAAGCG